This 560-nucleotide ribosomal RNA is filed under the name uncultured bacterium. RNAcentral's name for it is "bacterial SSU rRNA". It matches the Rfam family "Bacterial small subunit ribosomal RNA", at positions 777 to 1336 of the family's 1533-position model. The record is from RNAcentral.
AAUAGAUACCCCGGUAGUCCAUGCCGUAAACGUUGGGCACUAGGUGUGGGGGACAUUCCACGUUUUCCGCACCGUAGCUAACGCAUUAAGUGCCCCGCCUGGGGAGUACGGCCGCAAGGCUAAAACUCAAAGGAAUUGACGGGGGCCCGCACAAGCGGCGGAGCAUGCGGAUUAAUUCGAUGCAACGCGAAGAACCUUACCAAGGCUUGACAUGGACCGGACCGCCGCAGAAAUGUGGUUUCCCCUUUGGGGCCGGUUUACAGGUGGUGCAUGGUUGUCGUCAGCUCGUGUCGUGAGAUGUUGGGUUAAGUCCCGCAACGAGCGCAACCCUCGUUCUAUGUUGCCAGCGGUUCGGCCGGGGACUCAUAGGGGACUGCCGGGGUCAACUCGGAGGAAGGUGGGGACGACGUCAAAUCAUCAUGCCCCUUAUGUCUUGGGCUUCACGCAUGCUACAAUGGCCGGUACAAAGGGUUGCGAUACUGUGAGGUGGAGCUAAUCCCAAAAGCCGGUCUCAGUUCGGAUUGGGGUCUGCAACUCGACCCCAUGAAGUCGGAGUCGCU